Long non-coding RNA from Oncorhynchus keta (chum salmon), 818 nucleotides. RefSeq lists it as uncharacterized. Lineage: Eukaryota; Metazoa; Chordata; Actinopteri; Salmoniformes; Salmonidae. The record is from RefSeq and is a predicted model, not a curated record. The transcript is spliced from 2 exons.
CAACAUUGGUGGAUUUCUUAGGCAAGCGUCCAGCCCCACUGGUUGCUGAUACAGGUGCCAAAAAAAGGAGAGGUUUAGCCAAGCGACUAAAUGAUAAGGCUCGGAGAAAAACCUGAGUAAAUAUAGGGGGAUGAGUUUCUGGAGGAGCCUGCAGUGGUUGAGCUAGAUGGGAGCACCAUGGAGGCGACAGAAGUCGAAAACAAGCUACACUAAAGCUUUUUUGUUGUUAACUAUUGUUGGGGAAUAAUCAGAAUUGGUUGGUAACAUAGGUAAGAUGUUUUAUAUUCAUCAUAUGUUUGUAAGUUACUUCUCAUCUGAAUGGUAUUUUUGUAUAAUACUGUGGAGGGGUUGCAGUUAUCUGUUCUAUGUCAAGACUAAGUUGCAUGGGCCGCAGAGAGGGGAGAGGUCAAGGUGUCAUCAUGUGUAAACAUAUCUUUUGCUCCACUGUGUCUGUGUGCCAGUCACUCCCUACUUUUCCCAUCGGGGAGAGGAGGAUGGAAGUGUCUGGAAUCAUUCUAUGCUCCCCGUGAGCUUGUCCAGGAUUGGUUGUAUUUAGAAUUGGUUGUAUCUAAAUGACAAUUUGAUAUAUGCCUGUUGAUAUGGAGUAUUGGUUUAUGCUUCUGUGUUUGAGUAAGGAGACAAAGCUGAACGAUUUAUUAUGUCUAUGCUGUCUGACUAUGUGUGUUCUUUGCUAUUAAAGGAUCUCAGUUGCAAUGUAGUGGGGCUCUCAGAGAAUUCAUUGAGAGACACUGAAUUUAUCUGAGAGUCACAUGAUUUUGAUAGAGCUCAUAUAAUUAAAGAUGGACUUUGAUAACUAA